UUUCCGUAGGUGAACCUGCGGAAGGAUCAUUGUCGUGACCCUGACCAAAACAGACCGCGCAGGCGUCAUCCAAUCCACCGGCAAUGGCACCGUCCGUCGCUCGGCCAAGUCCUCAACCACCUCCCCUCCUCGGAGUGGGGGCUCGGGGCAAAAGAACCCACGGCGCCGAAGGCGUCAAGGAACACUGUGCCUAACCCGGGGGCAUGGCUAGCUUGCUAGUCCUCCCCCGUGUUGCAAUGCUAUUUAAUCCAUACGACUCUCGGCAACGGAUAUCUCAGCUCUC
RNAcentral lists this unclassified non-coding RNA (283 nucleotides) under root metagenome. RNAcentral's name for it is "partial contains small subunit ribosomal RNA, internal transcribed spacer 1, and 5.8S ribosomal RNA". The record is from RNAcentral.